RNAcentral lists this ribosomal RNA (514 nucleotides) under Cordyceps fumosorosea. RNAcentral's name for it is "eukaryotic LSU rRNA". The stretch from base 144 to 297 matches the Rfam family "5.8S ribosomal RNA". Lineage: Eukaryota; Fungi; Ascomycota; Sordariomycetes; Hypocreales; Cordycipitaceae. The record is from RNAcentral.
AAAACUUCCCAAACCCCUGGNUGACAUACCUAUACGUUGCCUCGGCGGAUCAGCCCGCGCCCCGUAAAACGGGACGGCCCGCCCGAGGACCCCUAAACUCUGUUUUUAGUGGAACUUCUGAGUAAAACAAACAAAUAAAUCAAAACUUUCAACAACGGAUCUCUUGGUUCUGGCAUCGAUGAAGAACGCAGCAAAAUGCGAUAAGUAAUGUGAAUUGCAGAAUUCAGUGAAUCAUCGAAUCUUUGAACGCACAUUGCGCCCGCCAGUAUUCUGGCGGGCAUGCCUGUUCGAGCGUCAUUUCAACCCUCAAGCUCAGCUUGGUGUUGGGACUCGCGGUAACCCGCGUUCCCCAAAUCGAUUGGCGGUCACGUCGAGCUUCCAUAGCGUAGUAAUCAUACACCUCGUUACUGGUAAUCGUCGCGGCCACGCCGUUAAACCCCAACUUCUGAAUGUUGACCUCGGAUCAGGUAGGAAUACCCGCUGAACUUAAGCAUAUCAAAAGCGGGGAAGGAAA